ACAAGUAAAUAAGUGCACAUGGUGAAUGCCUUGGCGAUUACAGGCGAUGAAGGACGUAGUAGCUUGCGAUAAGCUGCGGUGAGCUGGGCAGACUUGCUUUGAUCCGCAGAUUUCCGAAUGGGAAAACCCAUCUUUAUUUAUAAAGAUAUUACAUAUUGAAUAUAUAAAUAUGUAAAGCUAACGUAGCGAACUAAAACAUUUAAGUAGCUAUAGGAAAAGAAAUCAACAGAGAUUCCCAAAGUAGUGGCGAGCGAAAUGGGAGAAGCUUGCAAAAUUUAAUAUUAUUAAUAGUAGAAAGCUAUGGAAAGAGCUGCCAUAGAAGGUGAUAGCCCAUUAUAUUAAAUUUAUAAUAUGGAACUAAGUUUGCAAAAAAGUAAGACGAGACACGUGUAAUCUUGUCUGAAUAAGGGGGGACCAUCCUCCAAAGCUAAAUACUCGUAAUCGACCGAUAGUGAAUUAGUACCGUGAGGGAAAGGUGAAAAGAACCCCGGGAGGGGAGUGAAAUAGAUUCUGAAACCAUGUGCAUACAAACAGUAGGAGCAGAUUUAUUCUGUGACUGCGUACCUUUUGUAUAAUGGGUCAGCGACUUAUAUUCAGUGGCAAGCUUAACCGAAAAUAGGGGAGGCGCAGAGAAAUCGAGUCCGAACAGGGCGAAUUAGUCUCUGGAUAUAGACCCGAAACCAAGUGAUCUACUUAUGGCCAGAUUGAAGGUGCGGUAACACGUACUGGAGGAUCGAACCCACUAAUGUUGAAAAAUUAGGGGAUGAGCUGUGAGUAGGGGUGAAAGGCCAAACAAACUUGGAAAUAGCUGGUUCUCUCCGAAAACUAUUUAGGUAGUGCCUUAAGUAUUACCAUUGGGGGUAGAGCACUGUUAUGGCUAGGGGGUUAUCAUGACUUACUAAACCAUUGCAAACUACGAAUACCAAUGAGUAUUAGCUUAGGAGACAGACGCCGGGUGCUAACGUCCGACGUCAAGAGGGAAACAACCCAGACCGCCAGCUAAGGUCCCUAAGAUUGGCUAAGUGGAAAACGAAGUGGGAAGGCUAAGACAGUCAGGAAGUUGGCUUAGAAGCAGCCAUCUUUUAAAGAAAGCGUAAUAGCUCACUGAUCAAGUCGUCCUGCGCGGAAAAUGUAACGGGGCUAAGCCAAUCACCGAAGCUGCGGAUAUCAAUUUAGUUGAUAUGGUAGGAGAGCGUUCUGUAAAUCUGCGAAGGUAUUUUGUAAAAAAUACUGGAGAUAUCAGAAGUGCGAAUGCUGACAUGAGUAACGAUAAUGAAGGUGAAAAACCUUCACGCCGUAAGCCUAAGGUUUCCUGUUCAACGUUAAUCGGAGCAGGGUUAGUCGGCCCCUAAGGUGAGGCAGAAAUGCGUAGUCGAUGGGAAUAAGGUUAAUAUUCCUUUACCUAUUUUAGGUGCGAAGGGGGGACGAAUUAUUAAAGAUUGUCCAGGUGUUGGAAGUCCUGGUAUCUAUAUUGUAGAAGGUUAUUAGGAAAAUCCGGUAACAUAAUUCAAGGGUAUGGAUCAAGUGAUAUUUUUCAUAAAGCAAUCGGAAGUAGUUCCAAGAAAAGCCUCUAAGCUUAAGUCUAAAAAGACCGUACUAUAAACCGACACAGGUGGGCGAGAUGAAUAUUCUAAGGCGCUUGAGAGAACUCGAGAGAAGGAACUCGGCAAAUUUGUACCGUAACUUCGGAAUAAGGUACACCUUAUUAUUUGACUAGUUUAACACUAGAAGGAUGAAAAGGUUGCAAUAAAAUGGUGGCUGCGACUGUUUAAUAAAAACACAGCACUAUGCAAACAUGAAAAUGGACGUAUAUGGUGUGACUCCUGCCCGGUGCUGGAAGAUUAAAUGAUGGAGUGCAAGCUCUUGAUUGAAGUCCCAGUAAACGGCGGCCGUAACUAUAACGGUCCUAAGGUAGCGAAAUUCCUUGUCGGGUAAGUUCCGACCUGCACGAAUGGAGUAACGAUGGCCACACUGUCUCCUCUCGAGACUCAGUGAAAUUGAAAUGUUUGUGAUGAUGCAAACUACCCGCGGCUAGACGGAAAGACCCCAUGAACCUUUACUGUAGCUUUGCAUUGGACUUUGAACCGAUCUGUGUAGGAUAGGUGGGAGGCUAU
This 2114-nucleotide ribosomal RNA is filed under the name Chelonia mydas (Green sea turtle). RNAcentral describes it as "bacterial LSU rRNA". It matches the Rfam family "Bacterial large subunit ribosomal RNA", at positions 1 to 2158 of the family's 2925-position model. Lineage: Eukaryota; Metazoa; Chordata; Testudines; Cheloniidae. The record is from RNAcentral.